GGGAGGAAAAGAAACUAACAAGGAUUCCCUCAGUAGCGGCGAGCGAACAGGGAAGAGCCCAGCGCUGAAUCCCUCAGGCGGCAGUCUGACGGGAAAUGUAGCGUUAAGGAGGGCCCGCUAAUCCGGCGUUCAGCCGCUCGCUCAAGUCCAACUGGAAUGGGUCGCACCAAAGAGGGUGACAGUCCCGUAGAGCAGCGGCGGUUCUCGGAUGGGCCUCUCCUCAGAGUCGGUUUGCUUGAGAGUGCAGACCUAAGUGGGUGGUAAACUCCAUCUAAGGCUAAAUAUGACCACGAGACCGAUAGCACACAAGUACCGUGAGGGAAAGGUGAAAAGAACUUUGAAGAGAGAGUUCAAGAGUACGUGAAACUGAGCUGGUGUAAACGGAUGGAACGGUGAAGUCCGAAAGAGGAGAUUCAAGUUGACCGGGGGUCGCCCUGGCGGGAGUCCGAACGGUGCGUGCCUUGGGUGUUGGGGCUUGCUCCUCGCCUUCGUGCCGUAUCCGGCGGCCCUGCUUGUGGUCCGAUUCUUGGGCGGCUGCACUUCUCCUCUAGUAGGACGUCCCGACUCGUUGGGAAUUCGUCUAAGGCUCCUGGUGGCAGCCCCAUUGUUGUGCGGCGCAAGCCGUACUCGUUGGGACACCGUGGAUGUCCUGGCGGAGACCCGACGGUAUCAAAACUUGGGAAAGGUGCCGGACACAGUUCCGCGGGACGGUCUCUGAGAGAUCCAGGCUCCCUCAGGCACUCUGAACCUCGUCAGGGGCGCAACUGCUCACUGUCCCCAUCCGACCCGUCUUGAAACACGGACCGAGGAGUCUAACAUGUACGCGAGUCAUUGGGCUCACGAAACCUAAAGGCGAAAUGAAAGUAAAGGAACAGUGCCGUCAUGGCCAGUUUUCUGUGGGGAGAUGGUGAGGCCACCAGUGCCGCACCCGCAUCCCCGGGGCGUCUCGUCCGUGGGCGGGCAACCGUUCUUACGGUGAGGCGCACCCAGAGCGUACACGUUGGGACCCGAAAGAUGGUGAACUAUGCCCGGCCAGGUCGAAGCCAGGGGAAACCCUGGUGGAGGACCGUAGCGAUUCUGACGUGCAAAUCGAUCGUCGGAGCUGGGUAUAGGGGCGAAAGACUAAUCGAACCAUCUAGUAGCUGGUUUCCUUCGAAGUUUCCCUCAGGAUAGCUGGCCCUCGGGAACAAAUUUUUGAAUUUGUCUCAUCCGGUAAAGCGAAUGAUUAGAGGCCUUGGGGCCGAAACGGCCUCAACCUAUUCUCAAACUUUAAAUGGGUGAGAACUCCAGCCUGCCUGAGCGAGGCUGCGAGAAUUUAAUCUUUACUCUGGAAAUAUGAGGGCCAAGUGGGCCAAUUUUGGUAAGCARAAYUGGCGCUGUGGGAUGAACCAAACGCCRAGUUAAAGCGCCCAAAGGGAGCUGAUGGGAAACCAUGAAAGGCGUUGGUCGCUUAAGACAGCAGGACGGUGGCCAUGGAAGUCGGAAUCCGCUAAGGAGUGUGUAACAACUCACCUGCCGAAGCGACUAGCCCUGAAAAUGGAUGGCGCUGAAGCUCCCUGCUUAUACUCGGCCGUCGGGGCAAGAGAGGCCGGUACUCGUUGCCGCCAUGAAGCCCCGACGAGUAGAAGGACGUGCCGGUGUGCGCUGAAGCGUCUGGGCGUGAGCCCGCGUGGAGCCGCCGGUAGUGCAGAUCUCGGUGGUAGUAGCAAAUAUACCAGAGAGGCCCUGGUAGGCCGAAUGUGGAGAAGGGUUUCGUGUGAACAGCCGUUGCACACGAGUCAGCCGAUCCUAAGGCCUAGGCGAAAGCCGACGCAGAUGCGCGAGUCAAUCACGUGCAAAUACAUCCUUUCUGGGCACUCAAGAGCAGAGCAAUGAAAAUGAGGAACCCCCGAAAAAGUACAAGUAGCGAAAGCGAACGGAAAAUUUGAAGGACCUCAGUAGUAAGCGCUCGAUUCUCUUAGCCAAAAAGAUCGGAGCACACUCAGUGAGACGACCGCCAUCGGCCGAAAGGGAAUCUGGUUCCUAUUCCAGAGCCCCGGCCGGAUACGUUCUCAGGUCCUCGUACUUGUCAGGGUAACCUGAAAUGCCCCGGAGACGCUGACUUGACCCCUCGGAAGAGUUAUCUUUUCUGUUUGAACGGACGUAUUCCCUGGAGUUCUUCUCGCAAGGAGAUAGGGAACGGUCCGUGAAGAGCCCCGCUGUAGCGGCGGGGUCGAGGGUGUCAUCUCGGACCUUGAAAAUCCGGGUGAGGGCCACGCAGACGUUUCGGUCGGGUUCGUACCCAUAUCCGCAGCAGGUCUC
Molecule: ribosomal RNA, 2301 nt
Filed under: Melanthrips fuscus
Lineage: Eukaryota; Metazoa; Arthropoda; Insecta; Thysanoptera; Melanthripidae
Description: eukaryotic LSU rRNA
Rfam family: Eukaryotic large subunit ribosomal RNA
Source: RNAcentral